UUAGAAAACUUAUCCAAAACCAAAUCCUCUUAAACCCUAGCCACCAUUUUCUCCCAAUUCCACACUACCAUGGCGUCAUUAAAUCUAUCCUCAUGCAACCUCUCUUCCUCCGCUUCCAUUUCUUCAUUCCCAUCUUCUUCCCGCAGAAAAACUACCAGCAACGUCGCUCUAACCAGGAAGAAUCGGAACCCUAAAGUCUCAGCCAUGGCCAAGGAGUUGUAUUUUAACAAAGAUGGUUCCGCUAUCAAGAAACUCCAAGUGGGUUAUUCACAAUCAUGCUCAAAAAACGAAAAAAUUGAUUUUUUUUUUUUAAUGUUUUUUUAAUUGUUUUGUUUGUGUUUUUGUUACAGAAUGGUGUGAACAAGCUUGCGGAUUUGGUUGGUGUUACCCUUGGUCCUAAGGGAAGGAAUGUUGUUCUUGAGAGCAAGUAUGGUUCUCCUAAGAUUGUUAAUGAUGGUGUCACUGUUGCUAGAGAGGUGUGUGUUUGUUUACUUGAACUGUUUUUGAAUUCUGUGAUGUUAUUUUAUUUUAUAUAUGUGAAUUAGAUUAAUUUGUGUGAGUUUGGAGUUCAUGAUUACACUUGAAUUAUUGUUUUUGGUUAUAGGUUUAAUUUGUCUGAGUUUAGGGUCGAGGCUUUUACUUGAGUUACCGUGUUUUUAGUGAAUUAUUUACGUGGGUUGUUUAGGGUCUAAGAUUUCACUUGAAUUAUUGUUUUUGGUAAUAUGUUUAAUUUGUCUGAGUUUAGGGUCUAAGGUUUUGCUUGAAUUAUUGUUUUUGGUGAAUUAGUUAUGUGUGGUGUUUCAUUUGAUGUUAUGUUUGCAUUUUGGUUGAAAAGGUGGAGUUGGAGGAUCCGGUUGAGAAUAUUGGUGCUAAAUUGGUGAGACAGGCGGCUGCCAAGACAAAUGACUUGGCUGGCGAUGGAACUACUACCUCUGUUGUUUUGGCUCAAGGUCUUAUUGCAGAAGGUGUUAAGGUACACUUGUUAUGAGUUGUGGAAUAAGUAACUCAUAACUGCUUGGUUUGGUUUUGCUUCUUGUUACAUAAUUGGGGCCUUAUUUUAGAGAGAAAUUUUAUUUUAUAGGUUGUUGCAGCUGGUGCAAACCCUGUGCUUAUCACACGUGGUAUUGAGAAGACAGCGAAAGCUCUUGUUGCUGAACUUAAACUAAUGUCAAAAGAGGUAAAGCCGUUUUCUUGUUUUUCUGUGUAGCUGUGUUUAAACAUUUUUAUUCCAUGUGCUAUGGGUACCUCAAACUUCCCACUGUUUUGCUCAUUCUGGUGUGUUCAUUGCUUAGCAAUUAUUUCCUAAUACCUAUGAAGCACGAAUGCCUUUGGGAUUACAUUGCGUAGCAAUUAUUUCCUGUGAAACGCGAACACCUUUGGGAUUAGGCUUGUCUCCAUGUCCGACAUGCGUCGUUGCACGACACAUGUUGACACAUGUACAACAUGUUUAACACACCUUAAACAAAUACCAAUUUUUUUUUCUUUCUUUCUCUGCUUCAACACACCUUAGGCACUCUUUGGACGUAUCUGUGGGGUUAAAGAUGUGUUGAAGAAAUGAUUAUCAGUGAGGGGAUUUAAGACAUUCAAUUUGAUUACAUCACUUUAUCUUUUUGUAAUGAAUUUUUUUUUCUCAAUUAGAUGUAGGGGUGUAAAUGGUUCAUGAACUAAACCAAAUUUAUGGUUCGGUUCAGUUCUUAUAACUUCUAUCAUCCACAAUCUUUUUUUUUUUUUUUAUAAACCCAGUUCAAUUCGGUUCAAAAUCGGUGAUCUGGUUUAUAAUAUAAAACUAAAAUAAACUUUUUUUCUUUUUCAUGAAUUGAAAUGGUUUUGUGCUAAAAAAUUAGCCUUCAAUUCUGGGUUGAAAUUAAGAAAUUACAGAUUUGUAAAUUAUGAAAUGGGAGUUUGUGAAAUCGCAUGAAUAACAGAAGAGGGGUUGUGAAAUGAGUACAUAUAUAACCCAGUUUUAAGAAACAUUAAACCAAAUUGUUUUUAAAUUUUUAAAUUGGAGAGAGUCAGUUUUUAUAAAUAAUGUUGAUAUUUUAUUAAAUUAUAACACACACACACACACCGGUGUCAACGUCCCAUGUUUUUUACAUUAACAGAGUCAACAUGUCUGUAUUGUGUUAGGUGUUUGUGCUUCAUAAAUGAUUUCACUCAUCAUUUUCAUUUAAACUUAGAAGAGUUGUCGUCGUCUGAAUUGCAGGUUGAGGAUAGUGAAUUGGCUGAUGUGGCAGCAGUUAGUGCAGGGAACAAUCAUGAGGUAGGAAAUAUGAUAGCUGAGGCGUUGAGUAAGGUUGGUAGAAAGGGUGUCGUGACACUUGAGGAGGGAAGGAGUGCUGAAAACAAUCUGUAUGUUGUUGAGGGUAUGCAAUUUGAUCGAGGAUAUAUUUCACCCUACUUUGUUACUGACAGUGAGAAAAUGACUGUUGAAUUUGAGAACUGCAAGGUGCGACAUUUGUUUCUAUUUGGCAACUUAUUAUUAUCUCCCCCAUCAACUUAUGUUUUUACUUAAAAAUUUAUAUAUGUUUUUGUGCAGUUGCUUUUAGUUGACAAAAAGAUAUCCAAUGCAAGGGAUCUUAUUAACAUACUAGAGGACGCAAUUAGAAACGGAUUCCCUAUUUUGAUCAUUGCAGAGGAUAUUGAACAAGAAGCUUUGGCAACUCUUGUUGUGAACAAACUUAGAGGAUCACUGAAGAUUGCAGCACUUAAGGCUCCUGGAUUUGGAGAACGCAAGAGCCAAUACCUUGAUGAUAUUGCCAUCUUGACAGGAGGUUUAUAAAUUUGAAUCUUUUAUGUCUUUGCUUAUUUUGUUAAAUUGAGAAGUGUAUAAUUUCUCCCUUUGUUCCUUUUUUGGUUUAGCUGUUGGUAACAAUAUGUAUCUUCUUAAUUCGCUUAUAGGUACUGUUAUCAGAGAGGAGGUUGGCCUUAGCUUAGACAAAGCUGGGAAUGAGGUUCUAGGCACUGCGGCCAAGGUGGUGCUCACCAAAGAUACAACCACAAUAGUAGGUGAUGGAAGUACCCAAGAAGCAGUUACCAAGCGAGUUUCACAAAUUAAGAACCAAAUUGAGGUUUCCCUCUCUCUCAUUCCCCGCCUCUCCACCCCCUAAAUAUUGUUUGCAUGGCAUGUGACUUUUCUGAGACCUUGUUUCUGAAGAAUAAGUAAUGAUAGUUUUAAAAAAUGAGAAAUAUUUCGGAGUCAUGCAUAACAUUAGGUAGAUAGUUAAAAUUAGUAAUCCAAAUGUAUGUAUGUAGCAUAUGAGUGGUCAUAUAUGAGGAGAAACUCUGUAGGGUCUCUACAUAUAGUAGAUUACAAGAGAUUCACAUUUACGUUGUCUCUAAUAAAAUGUCUACAUAAACACACUUGGGUUGGUCUGAUGGUGUUGGCUUGGGACCUUGGAGUGUGCUCCUCUUCAAGGUCUCAGGUUUGAUUCUCCGUGGUGCUAAUUUGGGUGGCUAAUUUAGCUGCUUAAAAAAAAAUGUCUACAUAUUAUGUAGGCUAGCUUCUUAAAAAAAAAUAAUUAAAAUGUACAUAUUAUAUAGGCUGCAGAACAAGACUAUGAAAAGGAGAAGCUGAACGAAAGGAUUGCAAAACUGUCUGGUGGUGUGGCUGUAAUUCAGGUAAUAAUGAUCACAUGUCAGUUAACUCGUUGAAAUUUAAUAAUAAGCUUGCUUUUAACUUCUCUUCAAAUCGUAUUAAGCAGUGCAAGUUUUAUUUUGUUACGAGUAUAGGUUGGUGCACAAACUGAGACAGAACUCAAGGAAAAGAAAUUGAGAGUUGAGGACGCUCUAAAUGCCACAAAGGUGACUUAAUCUUUCUCAGAUUGUUCAUUAAUUCAUCCUUUUACCGGUUCUAUAAGCUCAUGUUUUCUUUACUUUCAGGCAGCUGUUGAAGAGGGUAUUGUAGUUGGCGGUGGGUGCACUUUGCUCAGACUUGCAUCAAAGGUGGAUGCAAUCAAGGCCACCCUUGCAAAUGAUGAAGAAAAAGUGAGUCAUCAUUUGAUAUUGCAAGAACUCAAGUUGUUUAUUUUCUCCUUUAUACGGAGAUAUUUUUCGUUUUAGGUCCUUGAAAGUGUUAUUGACUUGUUUGUGCUAUAUCAUUAUUUCAUAUUCAAAUUUCCGACUCUGAUUAUGACUUUAUAAUUAAAACGUGGUACAGGUUGGAGCAGACAUUGUUAAAAGAGCUCUUAGUUACCCUCUGAAAUUAAUAGCAAAAAACGCUGGUGUAAAUGGCAGUGUUGUUAGUGAGAAGGUAUAAAAAUCGGCUAAAUUUGGAAUUCGUUACUCUCGCAUGUGCUUGUGCUGAUGUAACUUAUGUAACUUGUAUAUUGGUAGGUUCUAUCCAACGACGAUACGAGAUACGGAUAUAAUGCUGCCACUGGAAAAUAUGAAGAUUUAAUGUCGGCUGGGAUCAUUGAUCCAACAAAGGUGAUUUAUAGAUUCAUUACUGUAUUGUUUUGUUUUUUUUAACUUAUCUGCAUGUGAAUUUAACGCUAUCUUUAGUAGCAUGUCUGGUAAAUUAAACUAAGCUUGUAGGGCCCGCAUCAUUAUAAAUGGUUUAUAUAUGGAUAUCUUGUGUUAGUUUUGAUUAAAUUUUGGUUUCGCACCAAAUGAGGUUCUUAAAUCAUGCAUAUUGUUGCAAAAUGGAAGUGUAUCAUUCCUUAGAAAAAUUGUAUUUGGAGGAUGUUAGGCACAAUACAUUACAGAUUUGUUGAAGUGUCACUGGACUUUUAAUGUGGGAAACAAAACCUGAUUUAUUUUAUGUUCUAGUUUCUUGAUUAGGGAAAUUGGGGUGUAAUACUAUUCUAUGACCUUUCUAAAAAGGCUUCUUGGAACAUAGCUUAUUGUGCAUGUUUCUGCCUUCUAUGUGUGACACUACACUCUAUCAUGUUUCUGCAUUCUUCAAAGAAUGCAUUCUUUAUUCUUGAUGCGAAACUUUGAUAAUCUGAAGCAUCCUACUCUUGUCCAGGUGGUCAGAUGUUGCUUGGAACAUGCAGCCUCUGUUGCGAAAACAUUCUUAAUGUCAGACUGUGUUGUUGUUGAGAUAAAGGAACCCGAAGUUGCACCUGUUGGUAACCCAAUGGACAAUUCAGGUAUGUAGUUUGAACAUUCAUUCGAACGAUAUUUUUAUGUUUCUAUUAGACUAUUAUCGUGUCAAUAAUGGAAAUGUAUGUAUGAUAUCUAUAAAAAGAUAGUGAUAUUUUAAUUAAAAGUGACAAUAAAAAAUAAUAAUAAAUAUUUUGUCAACAUUUUUCUAUGUGAAAUACGUGUAAACUAUAUCUAUUUGUUUGUAACCAAAAAAAUACCAUCGUUUAUUCCUAUUACUCUGUGUGUAACCGUCAAUUGAUAACCUAAGAAUCUUGAAUUUUAAGGUGUAAAAUAUGAUUUUAAAUAUUGGGUAUCUCAUAUCUUUUUGUAAAAUGUUGUUGGCUGACUCUGCCUUUCUUUUCUCCUAGGAUUCGGUAUGUAGAAGUGGCAGCUGCUUAAAAUGGGAACACCAUUUUCCUCCUAUUUUUUUUCGAUGUAAUACACAAUUUGGUAGCUAUUUUAUUUGUAGGACCAAGUCCAAAUGUAGGACAGAUGGCUGUAGUGUAACGUAACAAUGACAUUUUUGUUUCUCUUGAGCUAAUAAUCGAAAAAGGUUUUGCAAAUCAUUUGUCCUGUAUAUUUUACUUUUAUUAAACUGUUUUGUACGUGUUCCUGGAAAUAAUCUCGGAGAGGUUGAAGAGUAGAAAGUUAUACUCAUAGGAAAUCAUAUUUAAAAAAAUAUACAAAAGGAGAUACACUUAUUCUAUUUAUAGGGAAUUGUUUUGUAAAGGAUACACAAAGUGAGAUACAAUUGUACUAUUUAUAGAGCUCAUUGUUGGUUAACUAACUCCUGACUAAUUAGUCCUCACCAGAAUGAACUAACAUUCUUAACAAAACUAUUCUAAAAUGUCUUGAUCCCAUAACAAAAUCUCUAUUUUUGUUACCCGCGAAGGAUUUGAUGUUGCCAACUCAAUAAUUAGGAUCAUACUGUUGUUUGGAUUUUUUCUUGGCCAGAAGUUGAUUAUGUAUUGACUACCCUAGGAUCAUGCUGUUAUUUGGCUUUGGGCAAACAAGUUCGCUGCUUUAGGCAAUGUAAUUAUAGAACCACUUGAACCAGACUAGAGAUCAUAUUUCUGAACUAUGUUAAUGUAUUUUAGUUUGAGUGUGAUUGUGAGAAGCUUUGUUAUCUUCUUUUUCAAACCUUGGUAAGAUUCAGCAGGAAACAAUCACUCAGCUUAGUUACAGCAACCACGUUAACUCAUGCCUAUCUAGCUCCUACGUUUUUCAUCUCAUCGUUGCAUUGGCACUUUGAUUUCUACUGAUAUGAAUCCAUUUUUUUUUUAAAUAUAUUUUAAAUACACAGACAACUAAAUGAAAAGAAGUCUUUUGUAAGUGUUCCAUGAGUCUGAAUGUCUUCGUCUUGAAUUAAACCACCAUCCGCUCACCUUAAAUUUUGUAACCAAAAAAUUCAACGAGGAGAGGACCAAACUGAAAUGAGAAGAUUAGGAAAAAGUUAUUCUCGUGCUCCUGUUAUUUUUUUCUUUCUAAAAUACCCUUGGUUCAUUAUAUAAUCCAAAUAUGUUUUGGAUUAUAUAUUCCAAAAUAUUCAUACUCUGUUGUAGCCUGAAACACUCUGAAGGAUCUUGAUGUUGAAGUGCAUUUGAUGUGUCAAGGCACCCCUAAAAAGUCCUGAUUUAUUUUUGUCAAGAACCGACAUUGUUUCUUGGUUAAAUAAGUUUUUGAUCUCUAUAACUAUAGUCAAUUUCGUUUUUAGUCCUCGUAAAAAAAUUGAUAUGUUUUGGUAUCUUAUAAAAUUUAGCAUGUAAUUUCAAUCCUUGUAAAAUUAGAAUUUGUUUAAUUAUGAUAAAAACAUUUAAAUAUUGAAUGAUUUUGUAAAUAUUUGUUAUUUUUUUUUUUUUUUUUUGUGGUGACCAUGGUUUGAACGUCAGACCUUGCAUAUAUUAUAUAUUGUCCCUACCUACCGAGCUAAAUUCACGAGGACUUGUAAAUACUUGUUUAAAACAUUAUAAAGAAUUUCUCUACAAAAAAUUAACUCGAUUUGAUUUUUGGAUCAAAAUUUUCGUUAGUUUUAACUUAAAAUUUUGACAUUUAUAAAUAUUUAUAUUUGAUUUAUUACAUGUUAAAAAAUUGUAAUUUUUUAUAAGAGUUUUCUUAUAAUGUUUUUUUUAGAAAAAGUAUAAUUAAACAAAUUCUAAUUUAACAUGGAUUAAAACCACGUCUUAAUUUUUUUUUAUAAAGACCAAAAUCUGACACUUUUUUAUAAGGACUAAAAACGAAAUUGUUAUAUUUAUAAAGAUUACAAUUUUAUUUAACCCUUUUUUUUUUCAACAUAAAUUAAGUUUAGCAGAAAUGUUGAUGUCUCACAACAUGACAAACUUAAUAUGGAUUCCAACUAACAGAUAUGUUCAUAGGGUUCAUUAAGUUUUUGGUUCUUAUAAAUAUAUGCAGUUUUGUUUUUAGUCUCUAUAAAAAUAAAUCACACUUUUUAGCCCCUAUAAAAUUUUCUGUUAGUGUUUUUAGUCUCUGUUAAAUUAAAAUUUGUUUAAUUAUACUUAAACUUCUAAAUUUUUGAAAGAUUUUUUACAUACAUGUUCAUAACAUCGUAAGACACUCUUUUAUAAUUUUUUUUAGUUUUUUAACAUGUAAUGAAUUAAAUAUNAAAAAAAAAAAAAAAAAAAGGAAUGGAGGGAGUGCUUAAAAUGAUAGGUCAUGUAUUAGUUUCAUCCAAUAAAAAAUGAGUGUUAAAAAAAAGACUGUCUUUAACAUUCAUCUUUUGUAAAUGGUGACAACAGUGGUAAUUUUUUUUAAGGAUAUCAUAAUCCAAUGAAACUCCAAAUUACCUAGAAUUUACCUUUUAUAAAUUUAUUUUCGGUAAUGACCAAUAAACUUUGAAUUUUAGAUACUCCCUCCGUCACUAUAUCUAAGCACCCAUUUGAUUUUAUUUUUGUCCUUAAAUGUAAACUCAUUUCCAAAUUACUAGAUGUAUUUAUUAUUUUGUUCUUAAACAUACUCUUAAUUAAUACUACUAACUUGUCUUGAAAUUUGAAAAGUCAAAUUUAAUACACAUACAAACAAAAGACAAUUUGAUAAUAUUAAUACACAAAACACACAAUAAUUACACCGACAACUUUUCUUAAGAAAUGUGAAAAAAACAAAGGGGGGUUUACAUUAAGGGACAAAGGGAGUAUAUCUAUACAUCAUGUUCAUGGAUGAAUAAGUGGGCGCAUGUUGAUAAAUUUGUGAUUCCAUGCUAGGGAACUCAUGUUUGGAGAUUAGUAGCCGCAGGUUAGUUCAAUUAUAUGGUUCUCAUUCAAACUUUGUCGAACAUACAGAGCCAUGACUAUGUUAGAGAAGAUUUAGUGGUUGUCUCUAGUAGGGGUCAGAUUUAUUUGAACAUGGAUGGUGCAUACGAUGGGGGUGGAGGGUGUUGAGGGGUCGAAGUUGAUUUGAUCGCAAUGGUUUUCAUAAGGUGGAGUUUCAUAUGAUUCUCGGCUAGUGGCUAAAACUAUUUCUUCUGCUCAAGGAGGGACAAUAACGGGAUGUAGUUUGUUGCAAAACAUAACAAGAUUGUUGGACUUGAAGUGGCAUGUUCGAAUUGACCAUGUGGUAGAUUUAAGAAAAGGACAAACUGAUUCAUAUUUACAAAUACAUAAGUUGACAUUUUGGUACCUAAAAGAUUUUAAAAUUUCUAUAAUUCCAUUAAAUGUACAUAUUUACAUGGGAAGUUCAAACAUUACGAUUGCUUGUAUGUCAUGAUUUUUUUUAAUCUACUUCUAAACAUGGUGUGAGUUAGACUGUGAGCUCUUCAAGAUCACAUAGCUUUAUCUCUGGUGGUAGAUGUGAGGAUUAAAAUCACACGAUUAUGUUGUAAAGACAUACGAGAAUCACAAUAGACACUUCUUUGAGGGUUUUUAUUUCAAGGUAAAAUUAUUUGUUGAAUAUUAUGCUUUUCAAAUUGUUGAUGAUCAUAACAGUAAUGUCUAUGACGUGCCUUUUUACUGCUCAUGGUUGGUACAAAAGGAUCAAAUUGAGCUAAUAUAAUUUUGUAUGGAAUUAAUAUCCACCUUGUAUUAUCUCUGUUAGGGACCAAACUAUACAAAUAAUAUAAUUCCACCUAAGCUCUUGAGACCAAUUUUCUCCACCACCGAUGGCGUCACACCUGAAAAUCAAUUUUCAAGACAAUUAUUGUUAGUGUUCUAAAGUGAUGCUCCAUAGAAGGGAAAAGAGAGAUGAUAAAGAAUGAUGGAGAAUGAUAGAAAACGAUAAAGAACAUUAUGGAACUUUUCAAUUUGCGUCCAUUUUGUUCACGAAGCUAACAUCAUCAUUUUGUUUGGGAAGCGAAGAAAACCUUUGGUUAUUAAUAUUUCUCCACCAACAAAAACCACGACAACCACCGUGAUCUUUGCCAAAUAGUUUGUUGAACCAUCGUCAUCAAAAUGUCACCUCGAAAACAAAAUGAAAGAAUUUUGCAAGAGAUAAAGAUGAAAGAAAUUAGGCGACAAAUUCAACAAUACAAUAGAAUGUCACUGCCCAGCAAGCCCUUUUGGAAGUACAACAUAUGAGAUUCGAAGAUGGUGGCUCUAGUAGUGACUCUUCAUCAACUAGAAACAGUCAUUCACGAUGACAAAAGUUUAGAAUCAAUGAUAUCAAGGUAGGCAUUUCAGAUUUCGAAGGAAAAAUGCAACCAGAUGAGUUUGUUGACUGGCUUCAGACCGUUGAACGCAUAUUAUAGUACAAAGAGAUACCUGAGGAUCAUAAAGUAAAGAUCGUCGCACUCAAGCUCAGGAAACACGCUUUAAUUUGAUGAAAAAAUCUUAAAAGGAAACAUAAAUCUGAAGGGAAAAUCAAGAUCAAGACGUGAGACCAUAUGCGUUAUAAACUAAAUUUUAUCAGGACAAUUUUACUCAAUUAAAAUUAUAAAAAAAAAAAAAAAAAUCUUCAUACCAACCUCUUUCCUCUACCAGAUAUCAUAUUGAUUCUCACAAACCACCUAGCCAUCAAUCUAUUUCCUCAUUUAAACCCCAACAUAACACAAUCAAAGAGGUAAAUAUAAAGACACUCAAAUGUUUCAUUGUCAAGGGUAUGGGUACAUCGUCUUAGAUUGUCUGAAUACCAAAGUAAUCACUAUCGUUAAUGGGGAGAUAAACAAUAUUUUUGAAGAAGAAAGAGAAUACACACAUAAAUCGUUUGAAGAAGAGACAAUGGAAGAACCAAUUUAUGAUGAAGAAUAUGUUGGUGUUGGCUUUCUUAAAGUGUUUAAAGAAGAUGGAAACAAAUAUCUAAUAUAUGAUGAUGAGUAUGGUCCCGAUGACAUUCAUGAAGUGUUUGAAAAAGAGGAGAAUGACAAACCAAUAUACGACGAAUAAUAUCUUCCUGCUGAAUAUGGCGAAUCUUUGGAGGUUAAAGAAGGUUGUAAACAACAACAACCAAAGAAGAACUAUGGCUAAGACACAAUAUCCUUCACACUCGUUGCACUUCGUAAGACAUGGUUUGUAAUGUUAUCAAUAAUAUAAGAUGUGAAAACAUUGUAUCAAACUGUAUAGGAGAAAAGCUAAAGUUCUCAGUGAUUAAGCACCAAUAUCCAUACAAGUUGCAAUGGUCCAACAAGGAUACUAAGGUAAAAGUAUCUUAACUCCAUUAUUUGAUUUUCCAUCAGAACAAAUUAUAAAGAAAAGUUAUGGUGUGAUGUUAUUCCUAUGGAUACUUGCUUGUCACAUUCAUCACGGGCUACCUUGUCAAUAUGAUCGUUGUGACUUAACCUCUACCAAUAAAUGAAUUCAAUUAAGUAAAAAACGAAUUCAAGCCACUUGAACUUUUAGUCACAAAGGAACUAUUCAAUGAUAAAGAAAAAAUGUUAUACAUGCCUCAUCUAGUUCCUAAGUCAUCUUGGUAAGAUGAUGGUACGAAUUUUAUCCUUGGAAUACUUUUGACUCAACAACAAAAAGAUCCCAAAAUGGUUGUCGAAGACAUGUUUUUAAAAAUGGCUCAUUUCAGCUUAUCUCAAAUGUUGGUUACAAUUGUUGUCUUGAGGAUGAAGAAGAAAUUCUUGACUCGAGCAAGAGUCUCUUCCAACCCAGGGAGAAUGAUAAAGAACAUUCAUGUAUACUACUAAAUAAAGUCAUAAUAACUAGGAGCAUCUUGAUACCUCUAGAACUUUUUAGCUACAUAAACUAGAUACUAGUAUUUCUAAAUAUUUCUUGUAAUAAAGUAGUAUCAUUUUAUGCUUAUAUAUCUUUCUAUCUUGAGUCUUAUUAGAAUAAUAUAAAUAGAGCUCAUCACAAAGUGUUUUGACAUAUUCAACCAUUGAAACGUUCAACGAUAACAAUUUUUCUUGAGAAGGUUAUAUAGUUUCUCUAUUUUUUACUGGGAGGAGCGAUAUGAACACUCUCUUUCUAACAUGCAUUAAUUAUUCAAUAUAUUUAAAAAAUUAUUUUUUACAUAUAUAAAUAUGAUCGAAGGAGUACUCGUUAACAUUUUCCAUAUAAUGUGUGUUGUUUUAACAACCAUUUUAUGUAACAAUAUCUCAUAAAACCAUAAAUAUAAAAAAAAAAAUAUUGACGCAAAAAUUAAAACAAUAAAAAUAAAAAAUAAGAUCAUUUGUCCGAAUAACAUUUUUCUCUCUUCCCACAAAAACAAUAGAGAACAAUAGAGACAAACCUAAAUUUUAUCCAAAAAAAAAAAAAAAAGACUAUUAAACAUUGAAACCCCUACCUAAUAGUUUCAUCCUCCAUUCUCAAUUCCGAGCAACAAAGGUUAGAAAACUUAUCCAAAACCAAAUCCUCUUAAACCCUAGCCACCAUUUUCUCCCAAUUCCACACUACCAUGGCGUCAUUAAAUCUAUCCUCAUGCAACCUCUCUUCCUCCGCUUCCAUUUCUUCAUUCCCAUCU
RNAcentral lists this long non-coding RNA (11934 nucleotides) under Medicago truncatula (barrel medic). Its description in RNAcentral is "long non-coding RNA (MTRU_LNC007946)". Lineage: Eukaryota; Viridiplantae; Streptophyta; Magnoliopsida; Fabales; Fabaceae. The record is from RNAcentral.